This 300-nucleotide ribosomal RNA is filed under the name Triticum aestivum (bread wheat). RNAcentral describes it as "partial small subunit ribosomal RNA". Lineage: Eukaryota; Viridiplantae; Streptophyta; Magnoliopsida; Poales; Poaceae. The record is from RNAcentral.
AUGCUUAGUGAGCAAGACAUCCAGCAGACGACCAAUGCGAGCAUGAACAUGUAUGCGUUCAGCGGACAACAUUCCCUCAUGGCGAGCAACCUAAAGGCGGUGGCAGAGAUGCACCGUGAGUGCUCCGCCAACAACCAACUGGGAAACGUGGGUGAUGGAGCUGGCGGCUGGUCCUACUACUACUACGACAUAGACGCCACUAGUUCGAGCGGCCUUGCUGGAGGUAGUGCUAGCUGUAGCGACCAUGAUGUCAUCGACGUGGUGCAGAUGGCCUCGAGGGUGUUUGCUGCACAGGACUAG